Long non-coding RNA from Nicotiana attenuata, 1059 nucleotides. RefSeq lists it as uncharacterized. The transcript has 2 exons. The record is from RefSeq and is a predicted model, not a curated record. NCBI's taxonomy places the organism in Eukaryota, Viridiplantae, Streptophyta, Magnoliopsida, Solanales, Solanaceae.
AAUUAGGUCCCAUGUCUUUCUUCCAAGACUUGUCAGCCGCCCCCACCCUUCCUCUCCUUUCCUCUUAUAAACAAAAUACAAUCUUCUUCAUCCUCUUCAUCAGAAUAUGCUAGAUCUUUUUUGUACAUGUGUCAUUUUCCUCUAUCUCAUAUUUUUGUCUUGGUAUUUUCUUUUAUCUCUCUUUUUGUGGUGAAUCUUCAAGGAACAGACCAAAUUUCACCAUUUCAAGCAUGGCCUGAAGCAUCACGUGAAGAUGAAGUCCGUCCAAACCUCCAACGUUUAGAUUCAAGCGGAUGUGUUGACCAAGAUUUCGAAUUCAAAAUUUUAAGUUCCCGCUCUUCAGAAACCCUAGCUUUUUAUCGCCUAUAAAUACUUCUCUAAGUCUCAGCCGAAGCCAAGCGGGAGGAGGACCAUAAAAUCUCAUAUAUCUUACUACUCUCUUAACACUACUGACCAUUGUUCUUUUAAAUUCGCAUCAUUUUGGUUAAAAUCGAUUCUACUGUCGAUCUUGUUCGCUGAGUAGAUCUGAAACCUCAAAAGCCCCGUUCACUGCUCACAAAAAGGGGCAUAUUUUAGCUAUUCUCGAACAUUACAUGCUAUCGCAAAGCUCAGCAUCAAGUCAAAAGUCACAAAGUUCAUGCAAAGCAAAGGAUGAAGCCAAGCAAGCGCAAAUCAAACUUUGAAACUUAUAAUUUUUCUUUGAGUGCGGGAAUUUAUUAAUAGCAAAACGUUAUUUUGAAGCUCCAACAACUGUUAGCAUUGCACCAGGAAUAUUCACUACUACAAAGGCAUUGCAUCAAGCACUCUGCAUCGCACCAUUUGCUGUUGCAAAAUUAUUGCACCAAGCUCUCUGCAUUGCACCAUCAAUAUAUGUUACUUCGAAAGAACCAUGACAAGCUCUUCACACUGCACCAAUCUUGUAAGUUUAAAUCAAGCAUCGCAUUUAGGCUUGUCCACCUUUAAUAGGACAUUUAGGCUCGUCCGCCUUUAAUAGGACGUUUAGGCACAUUUUGCCUUCAAUUGAAAUUUAGGCUUAUCCGCCUUUAAUUGGAUUUUUAA